CCCUCUGUACUGUACACGGUUCAGCAGGCUCAUCCUCCUUGACCAUAUCCAAUUGGUUAUUUCCCAACCAUAUGAGAAAAACCCCACAAUAUCAUACAUAAUCCAACAACUAGACAUAAAGCGUUGCAGCUCGCAAUGCUGAAAAGCAUUGAUCUGUUCUUCAAAGUUCAAGGAAAUAUAAAACAUGUUGACUAAUAAAUAACACUAAGUAUAUGAUUAACACCCUGA
Long non-coding RNA from Carassius carassius (crucian carp), 228 nucleotides. RefSeq lists it as uncharacterized. The transcript is spliced from 2 exons. The record is from RefSeq and is a predicted model, not a curated record. Lineage: Eukaryota; Metazoa; Chordata; Actinopteri; Cypriniformes; Cyprinidae.